UCUCUCUCUCUCUCUCUCUCUACGUCUGUCUGUCUGUCUGUCCCCUCUCUUCCUUUACCUUUAUCCCUCGCAUUUGGCCGUCUCCCCCACCACAAUCAUGGAUCUCGCGGCGAGAUGUUUGCUUCUCCUACCCUGCUUCGGCGUGAUACUGGCCCUCGAUUUGGAAGCGAUCGACCCGAGCUACUUCGUGGAGCCCGUUGCCACAUCAGAUGUGAUCGACUACAAGGAUCCCUGCAAAGCUGCUGCCUUUCUGGGAGACAUAGCUCUAGAUGAGGAGGACUUACGAUCAUUUAAAGUAGACAGAAUAAUAGAUUUGGCCACCAGAACGGUCCAGACUGUCAAUCGCACAAACACAGGAUCAAGCAAUCAGAAUAGCCAAAACAGACAAGGCGCUCGCCGCAGGAAACGGGCUGCCACGUCCAGACCCGAGCGUGUUUGGCCUGAAGGUGUUAUUCCAUAUGUCAUCAGUGGUAAUUUUAGUGGCAGUCAGCGAGCUAUAUUCCGCCAAGCCAUGCGGCACUGGGAGAAGCACACCUGUGUGACCUUCAUUGAGAGGACACAGGAGGAGAGCUACAUUGUCUUCACCUACCGACCAUGUGGGUGCUGCUCCUACGUGGGCCGCCGUGGAGGAGGCCCCCAGGCUAUAUCAAUUGGAAAGAACUGUGACAAGUUUGGCAUCGUAGUGCACGAGCUGGGUCAUGUGAUCGGGUUUUGGCACGAACACACCCGGCCCGAUCGAGACGAACACGUCAGCAUUAUCAGAGACAACAUUCAACCAGGACAGGAGUACAACUUUUUGAAAAUGGAGCCUGGGGAGGUGGAUUCUUUGGGAGAAGUCUACGAUUUUGACAGUAUCAUGCACUACGCCCGCAAUACAUUCUCCAGGGGCAUCUUCUUGGACACCAUCCUGCCGCGGUACGAUGUGAACGGUGUGCGACCACCCAUUGGCCAGAGAACCAGACUUAGCAAAGGGGAUAUCGCACAGGCACGCAAACUCUACAAAUGCUCCAGAUGUGGGGACAGUCUUCAGGAUAGCAGCGGGAAUUUUUCCUCUCCAGGUUUCCCCAAUGGGUACUCCGCCUACAUGCACUGCAUCUGGAGAAUAUCCGUCACACCGGGAGAAAAGAUCAUUCUGAACUUCACCUCCAUGGAUCUAUACAGGAGUCACCUGUGUUGGUAUGACCAUGUGGAAAUCAGGGAUGGAUAUUGGAGGAAGGCACCACUCAAAGGCCGAUUUUGUGGCGACAAACUGCCCGAGCCAAUCAUCUCCACCGACAGUCGGUUGUGGAUUGAGUUCCGCAGCAGCAGCAACUGGGUGGGAAAAGGUUUCUCUGCCGUUUAUGAGGCCAUCUGUGGUGGGGAGGUGAAGAAGGACAGCGGCCAGAUCCAGUCCCCCAACUACCCUGACGACUACAGGCCUAAUAAAGGAUGUGUAUGGAAGGUUACUGUAGCUCAGGGCUACCACGUGGGCCUUACCUUCCAGUCCUUUGAAAUCGAGAGACAUGACAGUUGCGCAUACGACUAUCUGGAGGUGCGUGACGGAAACUCCGAGAACAGCCCCUUGCUGGGCCGCUUCUGUGGCUAUGACAAACCAGAUGACAUCAAAACCAGCUCCAACCAGCUAUGGAUGAAAUUUGUUUCAGAUGGCUCCGUCAACAAGGCCGGAUUUGCAGCCAACUUCUUCAAAGAGAUGGAUGAGUGCUCCAAGCCGGACAACGGUCGCUGUGAGCAACGCUGUCUCAACACGCUGGGCAGCUACAAGUGUGCCUGUGACCCGGGCUAUGAGCUUGCUGCUGACAAGCGCAGCUGCGAGGCUGCCUGCGGAGGCUUUAUCACCAAACUGAAUGGCUCCAUCACCAGCCCUGGUUGGCCCAGAGAGUACCCCCCCAACAAGAACUGCAUCUGGCAGCUGGUCGCCCCCACGCAGUACCGCAUCACUCUGCUCUUUGACGUCUUCGAGACUGAGGGCAAUGACGUUUGCAAGUAUGACUACGUGGAGGUGCGCAGUGGACUUUCACCAGAUUCAAGGCUGCACGGGAAGUUCUGUGGCACCGAGAAACCCGAAGCCAUCACCUCUCAGUACAACAACAUGCGCAUUGAGUUCAAGUCUGACAAUACGGUGUCCAAAAAGGGAUUUAAAGCACAGUUCUUCUCAGACAAAGACGAGUGCUCCAAGGAGAACGGUGGCUGUCAGCACGAAUGUGUCAACACUUUCGGAAGCUACAGCUGCCAGUGCAGGAGCGGCUUUGUGCUGCACGAGAACAAGCAUGACUGCAAAGAGGCUGGCUGUGAUCACACAGUAACCAGUGUGAGCGGUACCAUCACGAGCCCCAACUGGCCGGAUAAAUAUCCGAGCAAGAAGGCGUGCACCUGGUCGCUCACCACCACGCCAGGCCACCGCAUCAAAAUAGCUUUCAAUGAGCUCGACAUGGAGGCUCAUCUGGAGUGCGCUUACGACCACAUCGAGAUCUACGACGGGAAAGACGGCAAAGCUCAAAGUCUCGGCCGCUUCUGCGGCACCAAGAAGCCGCAGCCCAUCGCCUCCAGCGGCAAUAAGCUCUUCAUCCGCUUUUUCUCGGACAACUCCGUGCAGAAGAAAGGCUUUGAGGCGUCCCACUCUGCAGAGUGCGGCGGUCGCCUGAAGGCUGAGGUGAAGACCAAGGACCUGUUCUCCCACGCCCAAUUCGGGGACAACAACUACCCCGGAGCCUCUGACUGUCAGUGGGUCAUCUCGGCCGAGAAAGGCUACGGCGUGGAGCUCAUCUUCCAGACCUUCGAGAUCGAGGAGGAGGCCGACUGCGGCUACGACUACAUGGAGCUCUUUGACGGCGCUGACACCAAGUCUCCGCGGCUGGGCCGUUACUGUGGCUCAGGGCCUCCUGAGGAGAUCUACUCCGCCGGCGAUUCCAUUGUAAUCAAGUUCCGCUCGGACGACACCAUCAACAAGAAAGGAUUCCACGUGCGCUACACCAGCACCAAGUUCCAGGACACGCUGCACUCUCGCAAGUGACGAGCGGGGGCCGCAAGGGGCCGCGCGGGGCAAAGGGCCACCCGGAGGGGCCCCAAGGGGAGGCUCCCGCCUAGCGCUCGGAAACCUUCGGCCACCCACGGCAAUCAGACGCGACAGAUCAGCCGCAAGACCACCACCAAGCGCACCUCAGCUCCCAGGGGCUCCAGCUCCCCCCGCAGACUGUGCCUCCUAACAAAUGGCACAACAAGGAAACCAGUGGAUUCUCAGGACCCGUAGGAAAAGGCAGGCAUCAGCCGGAUCGAUUCCUGCUCUUGUCACGCCGCACCCUCCUCAUCAUCAUCAUCACACGAAGGACUUGACGUGAGGUGUUGGCCAAGUCGUGGGAGAGCAAGAAGUGUACACGGGGAUCAACAGCAGCGUUAUUUGUAACGAGCGACGCGACGGCCGCACUCUCACUGUUAGCAUUAACAAAGGAACAUAAGGAAGCUCAUUAAAGGACUAAUCAAUGAAAUGUGGUCUAUGGUCUUCUGGUUGGUCAUUACUGUACCUCCAUGAUGUGUCAAGUGUGUGUGUAUGCGCGUGUGGGUGUAUGAUCCUUCAAAAGGGAACGUGCUUUUUUUUUUUUUUUUCCUCAGCUUGAACCAGUUAGCACUUUACAGUGAAUUGUUCCAAAAUCAUUGAGCUUCUAUGGAUUUUUGUGAAAUGCAAUGCCAGUUCACUUAUUUUUAAAUGCAUUUUAUCUCUUAUUCGAAAACUGUUUUUAUUUUUAUUUUGAAUUGUUUUCCAGUCGCUCCAUUUGAGUUCCUCGGGCAUACUUGAACAUUGUGUGUGCCCUGUGACGUGGGGUAAUAAAGAUAUGACUUAUG
This is an RNA transcript of Phycodurus eques (leafy seadragon), 3837 nucleotides long. It is a transcript of the gene named bone morphogenetic protein 1a, with no coding region annotated. The record is from RefSeq and is a predicted model, not a curated record. NCBI's taxonomy places the organism in Eukaryota, Metazoa, Chordata, Actinopteri, Syngnathiformes, Syngnathidae. The transcript is spliced from 21 exons.